Molecule: ribosomal RNA, 639 nt
Filed under: Polysporina arenacea
Lineage: Eukaryota; Fungi; Ascomycota; Lecanoromycetes; Acarosporales; Acarosporaceae
Description: partial large subunit ribosomal RNA
Rfam family: Eukaryotic large subunit ribosomal RNA
Source: RNAcentral
GAACUCCUUCGCCGAGUCGAGUUUUUUGGGAAUCCAGCCCAAAUGGGUGCUAAAUUUCAUCUAAAGCUAAAUCUCGGCCCGAGACCGUUAGCGCCCCACGUAGAGUGAUCCAAAGAUGAAAAGCACUUGGAAAGAGCGUCAAACAGUACCGUGAAAUUGUGAAAGGGAAGCGCUUGCAACCAGACUUGCCCCGUGGGUGAUCACCCGGUAUCUUACCGGUGCACUCACCCGCGGUCAGGCCAGCAUCGGUUUGGGUGGCUGGAUAAAGUCCACCGGAAUGUAGCUCCCCUCGGGGAGUGUUAUACCCGGAGGUGCCACGCAGCCCGCCUGGACCGAGGACCGCGCUUCGGCUAGGAUGCUGGCGUAAGGUCCUAACCGACCCGUCUUGAAACACGCCCAAGGAGUCUAACAUCUAGCGAGUGUUUGGGUGUCAAACCCACGCGCGUAAUGAAAGUGAACGGAGGUGGGAACCUUAAGGGUGCACCAUCGACCGAUCCUGAUGUCUUCGGAUGGAUUUGAGUAAGAGCAUAGCUGUUGGGACCCGAAAGAUGGUGAACUAUGCCUGAAUAGGGUGAAGCCCAGAGGAAACUCCUGGUGGAGGCUCGCAGCGGUUCUGACGUGCAAAUCCGAUCGUCCAAA